UAGGGAAUCUUCGGCAAUGGACGAAAGUCUGACCGAGCAACGCCGCGUGAGUGAAGAAGGUUUUCGGAUCGUAAAACUCUGUUGUUAGAGAAGAACAAGGACGUUAGUAACUGAACGUCCCCUGACGGUAUCUAACCAGAAAGCCACGGCUAACUACGUGCCAGCAGCCGCGGUAAUACGUAGGUGGCAAGCGUUGUCCGGAUUUAUUGGGCGUAAAGCGAGCGCAGGCGGUUUCUUAAGUCUGAUGUGAAAGCCCCCGGCUCAACCGGGGAGGGUCAUUGGAAACUGGGAGACUUGAGUGAAGAAGAGGAGAGUGGAAUUCCAUGUGUAGCGGUGAAAUGCGUAGAUAUAUGGAGGAAAACCAGUGGCGAAGGAGGCUCUCUGGUCUGUAACUGACGCUGAGGCUCGAAAGCGUGGGGAGCAAACAGG
RNAcentral lists this ribosomal RNA (429 nucleotides) under Chloroflexota bacterium. RNAcentral describes it as "Chloroflexi bacterium partial 16S ribosomal RNA". It matches the Rfam family "Bacterial small subunit ribosomal RNA", at positions 355 to 776 of the family's 1533-position model. Lineage: Bacteria; Bacillati; Chloroflexota. The record is from RNAcentral.